Molecule: long non-coding RNA, 1503 nt
Filed under: Callithrix jacchus (white-tufted-ear marmoset)
Lineage: Eukaryota; Metazoa; Chordata; Mammalia; Primates; Cebidae
Description: lncRNA (ENSCJAG00000074273.1)
Source: RNAcentral
GAGGCAGGAGAAUCGCCUGAACCCAGGAUGCGGAGGUUGCGGUGAGCCGAGAUCGUGCCAUUGCACUCCAGCCUGGGAAACAAAAGCGAAAUUCCAUCUCAAAAAGAAUAGCAACAGGCUUUUGUACAUAUUUUUUUCUCUGUAGUCUACUGACCAUACUUAUUGGUUUCAAUAUUUUUCAGCUGAUUUUUAAAAAAAUUUUCCAUGUAUGAGACUAUAUUAUCAGAAUAAUCAUGCUUAUCUCUUUCUUUCCAACUUUUGUAUAUAUUAAUUCCAUUUUCUCUCUUAUUAGCAAGUUUGGAUGCCAAUAGUAAUGGAGCAUUCUUACCUUGUCUCUGAUUUUUAUAGAAAUUCUGUUAUUAAUUAAUCAUGGCAUAUGAUGGUGGCUACUGAUUUCUUUAUAUACUUUUGCCAUAUUAAAGGAACUUCCUUCGACUCCUAAGAAUUUAAUUAAGAUUAGGUCGAGUUUUAGGGCACUAAUGAGUAACUUUUUCCCACCUUGAGUUUAGAACCAAUUCUGAACACAAGAACCAGACAGACACAGAUCAAAACACCAGCUUAAAUGGCAAGACUAAUUGAAGAACAUGGCACAGAUGUGUGGACUCAGGUGGCUUUCUCAUUUUUCAUCCUAGAAAUAAACCCACCUAGAUGAAAGGGCAAAAUGGUAAGCCUCCUCCAUAAAGCCAUGAAUGCCCUGGUAAAAUUAAUACCACACGGAGGAGAGCAUUCCAGAAGAGAGCCUGUCUGCAGGGGAGAGAUGGAAUUAGAAAAUCACCACCUGGAAAGACCACAGUCAUAAUCGUUUCAGGACAGAUCAACAUCCUGAUAUAUGCAUGAAAAAUGUGCAACCUUCAUCUACUUAGGAAGACCUAUCAGACAAACCCAAAGUGAGGCACAUUGAACACCAGAGCAGGCCUGUAUUCUUCAACAGUGUCAAGGUCAUGAAAGAAAAAGAAAGACCAAAGAACCACUACAGAUGAAAGGAAGAGAACAGGACAAUUAAAUGCAAUGUGAGAUCCUUGACUGGACUGGACCAGAAUAAAAACAUUAGUGGGACAACUGAAAAAAUUGGAAUAUCUAAAGAUUAGAUGAUAGCGACAUAUCAGUUGAUUUCCUGAUGUUGAUCUUUGAACUCAUUUUACUCACAUCAUUGUGACUGUGUAAGAUGUUUAAAUUUGGGAAGUCAGAAUAAAGGAUAUACAGUAAUAUUUUUAUAUUCUUUAAAGCUAUAAAUGAUUUCAAAACGAAAAGUUAAAAAAAAAAUCAAAGCACUACUUUUCUGUGGGUAGACAAUAUGUCCAUCUGGUUUUGAACUUGGUAAUUUCAGUUGAACGUGAUAGUUGUGUGUUUUACAGCACACUUCUAACAGUGUCUUUAGUCACCCAGAAGCUGAGAUUAGGUGAUUCAGACUAGGUGAUUAAAUUUCACGAUACACUCCAUGGAUGCAGUCAUAGUCAUACGGUAAUUAAAGGCACUCAGAAACGUUGGUGUUGGUGGAACCUG